Molecule: ribosomal RNA, 454 nt
Filed under: Gonatodes caudiscutatus (shieldhead gecko)
Lineage: Eukaryota; Metazoa; Chordata; Lepidosauria; Squamata; Sphaerodactylidae
Description: partial large subunit ribosomal RNA
Source: RNAcentral
UUUUUUUCUCCCGGUGUGAAAUCUGAUCACAUAGGUCCCUCCAUCAUUWGAACRAAAGGAAMCCAUGGGCCGCGGGGGMGCAACCAGGGUGUCUCUGUUGCUCAAUGAACUUGAUCUUUCAGUACAAAAGCUGAAAUAUUCCCAUAAGACGAGAAGACCCUGUGGAGCUUAAGCUAAAACACUACUAUUAUAUAGUGCCUCCCUUUAGUUGGGGCGACUACGGAACAAAACACAACUUCCCUGCCACACAAUUAACCCCGCAACGACACACAUGUCACUGCACCCCUACCACGACCCAGUACUACUGACUAACGAACCAAGUUACCCCAGGGAUAACAGCGCCAUCCUCUUCUAGAGCCCCUAUCGCCAAGAGGGUUUACGACCUCGAUGUUGGAUCAGGACCUCCUGGUGGUGCAGCCGCUACCAAGGGUUCGUUUGUUCAACGAUUAAUGUC